GAGUUUUAAAGGGCUGCGGUAAUUUGACCGUGCAAAGGUAGCAUAAUCAGUAGUCUUUUAAUUGAAGGCUGGAAUGAACGGUUGGAUGAGAGAUUAGCUGUCUCUAUUACAGUUUAUAAUUUGACUUUUAAGUGAAAAGGCUUAAAUUAAUUAAAGGGACGAUAAGACCCUAUAAAACUUAAUACAUUUUURAKUYUAUCUUUAAAUUUUUUCUUAAAAUUGUAAAUUUGAAURUGUAUUUUGUUGGGGAGACAUCGAUAAAAUUAGUAACUGUCUGAAUAAAAAUUAUAAUUAUAAUUAGURCAUGAUCCUACUGUGUGGAUUAUAAGAAUAAGUUACUUUAGGGAUAACAGCGUAAUUUUYUCUGAGAGUUCUUAUCGAAGAGAGUAGUUGCGACCUCGAUGUUGAAUUAAAAUUUCUUUUGGGUGUAGCCGCUCAAUAAGUAGGUCU
Molecule: ribosomal RNA, 450 nt
Filed under: Palaemon octaviae
Lineage: Eukaryota; Metazoa; Arthropoda; Malacostraca; Decapoda; Palaemonidae
Description: partial 16S ribosomal RNA
Rfam family: Bacterial large subunit ribosomal RNA
Source: RNAcentral